GAUGAACGCUGGCGGCGUGCUUAACACAUGCAAGUCGAACGGUGAAGCAGGAGCUUGCUCUUGUGGAUCAGUGGCGAACGGGUGAGUAACACGUGAGCAACCUGCCCCUGACUUUGGGAUAAGCGCUGGAAACGGCGUCUAAUACUGGAUACGAACAAGAAUCGCAUGGUUACUUGUUGGAAAGAUUUAUUGGUUGGGGAUGGGCUCGCGGCCUAUCAGCUUGUUGGUGAGGUAAUGGCUCACCAAGGCGUCGACGGGUAGCCGGCCUGAGAGGGUGACCGGCCACACUGGGACUGAGACACGGCCCAG
RNAcentral lists this ribosomal RNA (309 nucleotides) under uncultured bacterium. RNAcentral's name for it is "bacterial SSU rRNA". It matches the Rfam family "Bacterial small subunit ribosomal RNA", at positions 28 to 334 of the family's 1533-position model. The record is from RNAcentral.